Molecule: small nuclear RNA, 122 nt
Organism: Otolemur garnettii (small-eared galago)
Lineage: Eukaryota; Metazoa; Chordata; Mammalia; Primates; Galagidae
Gene: U5
Rfam family: U5 spliceosomal RNA
About the family: U5 RNA is a component of both types of known spliceosome. The precise function of this molecule is unknown, though it is known that the 5' loop is required for splice site selection and p220 binding, and that both the 3' stem-loop and the Sm site are important for Sm protein binding and cap methylation.
Source: Ensembl
AUUCUCUGGUUUCUUUUCUGAUCAUGUAAAUCUUUCACCUUUUACUAAAGAUUUCUGUGGAGAGGAACAACUCCAAGUCUUAAAAAAAAUAAAAAUGAAAACCACCCCGGGGCAUGGUGGCU